UAUGGNUCAACCAUAGUGUGCUCUGGAAACUGUCUGACUUGAGUGCAGAAGGGGAGAGUGGAAUUCCAUGUGUAGCGGUGAAAUGCGUAGAUAUAUGGAGGAACACCAGUGGCGAAAGCGGCUCUCUGGUCUGUCACUGACGCUGAGGCUCGAAAGCGUGGGUAGCGAACAGGAUUAGAUACCCUGGUAGUNCACGCCGUAAACGAUGAGUGCUAGGUGUUAGGCCCUUUCCGGGGCUUAGUGCCGGAGCUAACGCAAUAAGCACUCCGCCUGGGGAGUACGACCGCAAGGUUGAAACUCAAAGGAAUUGACGGGGGCCCGCACAAGCGGUGGAGCAUGUGGUUUAAUUCGAAGCAACGCGAAGAACCUUACCAGGUCUUGACAUCCCGAUGCUAUUCUUAGAGAUAGGAAGUUACUUCGGUACAUCGGAGACAGGUGGUGCAUGGUUGUCGUCAGCUCGUGUCGUGAGAUGUUGGGUUAAGUCCCGCAACGAGCGCAACCCUUAUUGUUAGUUGCCAUCAUUAAGUUGGGCACUCUAGCGAGACUGCCGGUAAUAAACCGGAGGAAGGUGGGGAUGACGUCAAAUCAUCAUGCCCCUUAUGACCUGGGCUACACACGUGCUACAAUGGUCGGUACAACGAGUUGCGAGCCGGUGACGGCAAGCUAAUCUCUGAAAGCCGAUCUCAGUUCGGAUUGGAGGCUGCAACUCGCCUCCAUGAAGUCGGAAUCGCUAGUAAUCGCGGAUCAGCACGCCGCGGUGAAUACGUUCCCGGGCCUUGUACACACCGCCCGUCACACCACGAGAGUUUGUAACACCCGAAGUCGGUGAGGUAACCUUUUAGGGNCCA
RNAcentral lists this ribosomal RNA (848 nucleotides) under uncultured bacterium. RNAcentral's name for it is "bacterial SSU rRNA". It matches the Rfam family "Bacterial small subunit ribosomal RNA", at positions 603 to 1451 of the family's 1533-position model. The record is from RNAcentral.